GAUGAACGCUGGCGGCGUGCCUAAUACAUGCAAGUCGAGCGAACAGACGAGGAGCUUGCUCCUCUGACGUUAGCGGCGGACGGGUGAGUAACACGUGGAUAACCUACCUAUAAGACUGGGAUAACUUCGGGAAACCGGAGCUAAUACCGGAUAAUAUAUUGAACCGCAUGGUUCAAUAGUGAAAGACGGUUUUGCUGUCACUUAUAGAUGGAUCCGCGCCGCAUUAGCUAGUUGGUAAGGUAACGGCUUACCAAGGCAACGAUGCGUAGCCGACCUGAGAGGGUGGUCGGCCACACUGGAACUGGGACACGGUCCAGACUCCUGCGGGAGGCAGCAGUAGGGAAUCUUCCGCAAUGGGCGAAAGCCUGACGGAGCAACGCCGCGUGAGUGAUGAAGGUCUUCGGAUCGUAAAACUCUGUUAUUAGGGAAGAACAAAUGUGUAAGUAACUAUGCACGUCUUGACGGUACCUAAUCAGAAAGCCACGGCUAACUACGUG
This 497-nucleotide ribosomal RNA is filed under the name uncultured bacterium. Its description in RNAcentral is "partial 16S ribosomal RNA". It matches the Rfam family "Bacterial small subunit ribosomal RNA", at positions 28 to 507 of the family's 1533-position model. The record is from RNAcentral.